Molecule: non-coding RNA, 219 nt
Organism: Cyanistes caeruleus (blue tit)
Lineage: Eukaryota; Metazoa; Chordata; Aves; Passeriformes; Paridae
Source: RefSeq, a predicted model, not a curated record
GCUGCAGCAGGUUUGGGAACACUAACAGGGUAUUUUCCCCAGUGUGCAGCUCAGCGAGUUUGGAUCUGGAAAUCAUGAGCCAGUGCCCCUUUGCGGGGAAGAAUUACCUAUUUAAUUUUAACAAGCUGUCUUUGGAAGAUGACAAUGAUGACAAAUCUCAAGAAGGAAUAAAUAAAGCCAGCAAAGGUGGGCUUAUCUAUGGAGAAUACCUACAAGUAA